Long non-coding RNA from Sapajus apella (tufted capuchin), 99 nucleotides. RefSeq lists it as uncharacterized. NCBI's taxonomy places the organism in Eukaryota, Metazoa, Chordata, Mammalia, Primates, Cebidae. The transcript has 3 exons. The record is from RefSeq and is a predicted model, not a curated record.
UUUUAAAAACACUGGGCCGGGGGCGGUGGCUGACGCCCGUAAGCCCAGCACUUUGGGAGGCUGAGGAGGGCGGAUCACAAGAUCAGGAGAUCGAGACCG